Molecule: ribosomal RNA, 217 nt
Filed under: uncultured bacterium
Lineage: Bacteria
Description: partial 16S ribosomal RNA
Rfam family: Bacterial small subunit ribosomal RNA
Source: RNAcentral
UACAGAGGGUGCGAGCGUUUGUCCGGAAUCACUGGGCGUAAAGGGCGCGUAGGUGGCGACCCAAGUCGAUGGCGAAAGCUCGCCGCUCAACGGCGAGUCGGCCACCGAUACUGGGUUGCUGGAGCACUGUAGAGGCAGAUGGAAUUCCGGGUGUAGCGGUGGAAUGCGUAGAGAGUCCGGGAAGAACACCGGUGGCGAAGGCGGUCUGCUGGGCAGU